Molecule: ribosomal RNA, 702 nt
Filed under: Clostridium botulinum C
Lineage: Bacteria; Bacillati; Bacillota; Clostridia; Eubacteriales; Clostridiaceae
Description: bacterial SSU rRNA
Rfam family: Bacterial small subunit ribosomal RNA
Source: RNAcentral
UUUAAAUUGAGAGUUUGAUCCUGGCUCAGGACGAACGCUGGCGGCGUGCCUAACACAUGCAAGUCGAGCGAUGAAACUUCCUUCGGGGAGUGGAUUAGCGGCGGACGGGUGAGUAACACGUGGGUAACCUGCCUCAAAGAGGGGGAUAGCCUCCCGAAAGGGAGAUUAAUACCGCAUAACAUUAUUUUACGGCAUCAUAGAAUAAUCAAAGGAGCAAUCCGCUUUGAGAUGGACCCGCGGCGCAUUAGCUAGUUGGUGAGGUAAGGGCUCACCAAGGCGACGAUGCGUAGCCGACCUGAGAGGGUGAUCGGCCACAUUGGAACUGAGACACGGUCCAGACUCCUACGGGAGGCAGCAGUGGGGAAUAUUGCGCAAUGGGGGAAACCCUGACGCAGCAACGCCGCGUGAGUGAUGAAGGUUUUCGGAUCGUAAAACUCUGUCUUUAGGGACGAUAAUGACGGUACCUAAGGAGGAAGCCACGGCUAACUACGUGCCAGCAGCCGCGGUAAUACGUAGGUGGCAAGCGUUGUCCGGAUUUACUGGGCGUAAAGAGUAUGUAGGUGGGUGCUUAAGUCAGAUGUGAAAUUCCCGGGCUUAACCUGGGCGCUGCAUUUGAAACUGGGCAUCUAGAGUGCAGGAGAGGAAAGUGGAAUUCCUAGUGUAGCGGUGAAAUGCGUAGAGAUUAGGAAGAACACCAGUGGC